UUGGAGGGCAAGUCUGGUGCCUGCAGCCGCGGUAAUUCCAGCUCCAAUAGCGUAUAUUAAAGUUGUUGCAGUUAAAAAGCUCGUAGUUGAAUUUCGGGAUCAGUUGGUCGGUCGUGCCUCGGUACGUACUGGUCAAAUUGAUUCCUACCUUCUGACGAACCACGAUGUCAUUAAUUUGGUGUCGCGGGAAAUCAGGACUGUUACUUUGAAAAAAUUAGAGUGUUUAAAGCAGGCUCGCGCUUGAAUACAUUAGCAUGGAAUAAUGAAAUAGGACGUUUGAUUCUAUUUUGUUGGUUUCUAGGAUCGACGUAAUGAUUAAUAGGGAUAGUUGGGGGCAUUAGUAUUCAAUUGUCAGAGGUGAAAUUCUUGGAUUUACUGAAGACUAACUACUGCGAAAGCAUUUGCCAAGGAUGUUUUCAUUAAUCAAGAACGAAAGUUAGGGGAUCGAAGACGAUCAGAUACCGUCGUAGUCUUAACCAUAAACUAUGCCGACUAGGGAUCGGAUGAUGUUAAUUUUUUAAUGACUCAUUCGGCGCCUUACGGGAAACCAAAGUGUUUGGGUUC
This 564-nucleotide ribosomal RNA is filed under the name uncultured Glomeromycotina. RNAcentral describes it as "SSU rRNA". It matches the Rfam family "Eukaryotic small subunit ribosomal RNA", at positions 548 to 1114 of the family's 1831-position model. Lineage: Eukaryota; Fungi; Glomeromycota. The record is from RNAcentral.